AUACGGAGGGUGCAAGCGUUACUCGGAAUCACUGGGCGUAAAGCGCGCGCAGGCGGCUAUUUAAGUUGGAUGUGAAAGCCUACGGCUCAACCGUAGAACUGCAUCCAAAACUAUUUAGCUAGAGUGUGGGAGAGGAAGAUGGAAUUAGUUGUGUAGGGGUAAAAUCCGUAGAGAUAACUAGGAAUACCAAAAGCGAAGGCAAUCUUCUGGAACACUACUGACGCUGAGGCGCGAAAGCGCGGGGAGCAAACAGGAUUAGAAACCCUUGUAGUCC
This 274-nucleotide ribosomal RNA is filed under the name uncultured bacterium. RNAcentral describes it as "partial 16S ribosomal RNA". It matches the Rfam family "Bacterial small subunit ribosomal RNA", at positions 523 to 796 of the family's 1533-position model. The record is from RNAcentral.